AGCAGCCGCGGUAAUUCCAGCUCCAAUAGCGUAUAUUAAAGUUGUUGCAGUUAAAAAGCUCGUAGUUGGAUUUCGGGGUUAGUAAGUUGGUCAUGCCUCUGGUAUGAACUGGCUUUACUGAUUCCUCCUUCUUGAUGAACUGUAAUGUCAUUAAUUUGGUGUUGCAGGGAAUCAGGACUGUUACUUUGAAAAAUUAGAGUGUUUAAAGCAGGCAUACGCUUGAAUACAUUAGCAUGGAAUAAUAAAAUAGGACGUUUGAUCCUAUUUUGUUGGUUUCUAGGAUUGACGUAAUGAUUAAUAGGGAUAGUUGGGGGCAUUAGUAUUCGAUUGUCAGAGGUGAAAUUCUUGGAUUUAUUGAAGACUAACUACUGACGAAAGCAUUUGCCAAGGAUGUUUUCAUUAAUCAAAGAACGAAAGUUAGGGGAUCGAAGACGAUCAGAUACCGUCGUAGUCUUAACCGUAAACUAUGCCGACUAGGGAUCGGAUGAUGUUAUUUUUAAUGUACUCAUUCGGCGCCUU
RNAcentral lists this ribosomal RNA (519 nucleotides) under uncultured Glomeromycotina. RNAcentral's name for it is "SSU rRNA". It matches the Rfam family "Eukaryotic small subunit ribosomal RNA", at positions 569 to 1089 of the family's 1831-position model. The record is from RNAcentral. Lineage: Eukaryota; Fungi; Glomeromycota.